CCCCCCCCCCCGGCGGCUCCCUGUGAGCGCUCAGUGUUCUGCUUGCACUGUCAGGCCCCGCCGUGGGCAGCGCUGCUUGCCUGCAGCCUGAGAGGACUCUGCAAUGUGUCAGGUGGAGGGGAGCGGGGGGACCUGGUG
Molecule: small nucleolar RNA, 138 nt
Filed under: Chinchilla lanigera (long-tailed chinchilla)
Lineage: Eukaryota; Metazoa; Chordata; Mammalia; Rodentia; Chinchillidae
Description: small Cajal body-specific RNA 17 (ENSCLAG00000018331.1)
Source: RNAcentral